Molecule: transfer RNA, 85 nt
Filed under: Pseudoalteromonas denitrificans DSM 6059
Lineage: Bacteria; Pseudomonadati; Pseudomonadota; Gammaproteobacteria; Alteromonadales; Pseudoalteromonadaceae
Also listed under: 2 other names
Description: tRNA_Leu_TAG
Rfam family: tRNA
About the family: Transfer RNA (tRNA) molecules are approximately 80 nucleotides in length. Their secondary structure includes four short double-helical elements and three loops (D, anti-codon, and T loops).
Source: RNAcentral
GCGGAAGUGGCGGAAUUGGUAGACGCGCUGGAUUUAGGUUCCAGUAUCGCAAGAUGUGAGAGUUCAAGUCUCUCUUUCCGCACCA